UGUGUUAGCAAGAGGUGGUGUGAAAGCAUGAGUUUCCAUGGGCCUUGAGAAUCCGACCCCAUCAUACCCUCCCUGUUGACUUGUACAAGUCAACAGGUUUAAACUAAUAAAUCUCGUGCGCUCAAAAGUUCAACGUCACUGGCCGUUAGCCACCGCGUCGGCGGCCAUCGCUGGCGGCGAUGGCAUCCAAAACCUAAAUUCUAAUUGCCAAAUUAUGCGCAAAGACGCGCUGGUGACAAGAAUGGGGUCCAUUUGGGGGAAAUAUUCAUGGAUCAACCGAAUCAAGAGGAUCUUGGGAAGAACCCUAGAAUUCUAAGUGUGAAUUAAAUGGCGUUGGUGAUAAAUUAGACUCCUACACUAUGGGGCUUCUGUUUCUCAUACCAAAAUCUCCUAGCAGGUGAGCUCAACGCAAGUAAAUACAAGUGAAGCAAAACUACAUACCGGAGAAGACGAUCAGAACGGUUCGCCGCAUGAACUUGGCAUAACAUGUUUAAACCAGGAUUUAGCCAUGGUACCUUUUUGAUGCAAGCUUGGAAAUUGUUUGGCUUUGAGGUGUGCACACUGUGAUGAAGGUAUAAUACUGCUACUCGCUUGGUCUUGUAAUUCCAUGUUGGAUCAUUCUUCCAGUUCAGCAUAUGGGUAUGUGAACCAAUGCAAUGCUCACGAAUUUAUCCUUGAGGAUUUAGGAACUUACUCAGGUGGUAGCAAGUUUGGUGUUGUAUUUGGUUCAUGUUUCAUGUCAUUACAGCAAGUGUGUUACAGGACUGGUGCAUUACCAAUUGCAGUUUGCAGUGUAACAAGUGUUACAUGCAAGGUCAUGAUGUUCUGAGUUUGGAAAACAUUCAGUAGGUUCUGACUUCAUUGUUAGAAAUAGGUUAAAGCAUCAUGAUUAUCAUGUUCACUGCAGGUUACCAUGUUCCCAUCUUGAGCAUUUUGGUCUGUAGCCAUGGUGUUGGGAAGAUUCUCAAUCUUAAUGUGGGAUUUAGGUGAAACCAGGUUUAUGGUCAAUGUAUUGGAUGCUCAAAAUAGUAGUAAGUCUUGAAAGUUCACUGCCUGGAUGUGGUCUUAUCUUGGCUUAUUGGAGAAUGAUAUGGCCAUGAUGUAGGUUUGCUGUAUUUUGGUAAUAGGUGAAUUGGUUCAUAGAUGCAUUGGUUCUGUUAUGCUUUGGUCUUGACUCGGUCCCAUGGUCUGUUGGAUUAACCAUGCUUUUGGCCUAAUGCAGGACUUAUGGUUUGAAAAUAUGCAGGACUUUCAAUAGGACCAAGUUUCUUGUCCAUUUGGCUUGGUGCAGCAGGGCCUAAAUGCAAGACCUAUAAGAAUUUGUUUGAUGCAGAUGCAGGUUUUGUACCAGCUGGGUGGAUCAAAAUGCUCCAUCAUCCAAAAGUAAGCUAGGGUAAUACACAGAUAUCAAAGUCCAAGGUAAGCUUAGCCAUAUCUCAUGCUUUUGGAUGAUGGAGCAUUAUAAUGCAUCAUUGCCCUGUGUCUGUUUGAGGUUCAUGGCAAUGUGUUAACUGGCUUUACAUGCUGUUGUUGCUGCUUUGUGGCAAGAUCAUGGCUGCUACAAGAAACUUAAGGUCAUGGUGUUGUUCAUGUGAGCUCACGACCAAACCCGAUCAUCCUUGGUCAAUGCAAGUGUAAUAUCUAGUGUGGCUGUAAUGUUUGGUUGUAGCAACUGCAGGGCCUUGCUUAGCAAUGCAGAACCAAUGGUGGACCAAGCUGAAAUGACAAUUCAAGACAAGUUGCACAUGAGGUUAACAUGAGAUAAGCUACUUGGCCAAGAAUAUACAAAGUCAAAAUCAUCACAUAAGACUCUUGGAUGGUGAAUAAAGGAUAAAGUGGAUUAGAUUAGGUUUAAGAGGGUCAAAAGUGGGAAGGUUGACUUCGGUCAAAGUUGACCAAAAAGUCAACAAAAGGUCAAAAUUCAAAAUUCUUUGUAUUUUCUUUAUAAAUGGACAUUGAAUUAGUGGUUAGGGGUGAUUUUAGGGCAUUAGGGAAUUUGGGUUGACUUUGGUCAAAGUUGACCAAAAAGUCAACUAUUGACCAAAGUCAACAAUCGGUCAAAAAUUGUCAAUACUUGCAAUUUUUCAUGUAAAAUUAAUGUGAUGGUUUAGAAUGGUUUGAAAUGGAUUGAUAUGGAUUACAAA
Lathyrus oleraceus (garden pea) is the source of this 2144-nucleotide long non-coding RNA. RefSeq lists it as uncharacterized. The transcript has 6 exons. NCBI's taxonomy places the organism in Eukaryota, Viridiplantae, Streptophyta, Magnoliopsida, Fabales, Fabaceae. The record is from RefSeq and is a predicted model, not a curated record.